RNAcentral lists this ribosomal RNA (468 nucleotides) under uncultured bacterium. Its description in RNAcentral is "partial 16S ribosomal RNA". It matches the Rfam family "Bacterial small subunit ribosomal RNA", at positions 28 to 507 of the family's 1533-position model. The record is from RNAcentral.
GACGAACGCUGGCGGCGUGCUUAACACAUGCAAGUCGAACGGAAAGGCCCUGCUUUUGUGGGGUGCUCGAGUGGCGAACGGGUGAGUAACACGUGAGUAACCUGCCCUUGACUUUGGGAUAACUUCAGGAAACUGGGGCUAAUACCGGAUAGGAGCUCCUGCUGCAUGGUGGGGGUUGGAAAGUUUCGGCGGUUGGGGAUGGACUCGCGGCUUAUCAGCUUGUUGGUGGGGUAGUGGCUUACCAAGGCUUUGACGGGUAGCCGGCCUGAGAGGGUGACCGGCCACAUUGGGCCUGAGAUACGGCCCAGACUCCUACGGGAGGCAGCAGUGGGGAAUAUUGCACAAUGGGCGGAAGCCUGAUGCAGCAACGCCGCGUGUGGGAUGACGGCCUUCGGGUUGUAAACCGCUUUCGCCUGUGACGAAGCGUGAGUGACGGUAAUGGGUAAAGAAGCACCGGCUAACUACGUG